GGUAAAAUGGCUGAGUUUAGGCGGUAUAUUGUAAAUAUAUUAACAAAAGUUUACUUUUUUUUAUCA
RNAcentral lists this transfer RNA (66 nucleotides) under Scolytinae sp. BMNH 1043104. Its description in RNAcentral is "tRNA-Tyr". The record is from RNAcentral. Lineage: Eukaryota; Metazoa; Arthropoda; Insecta; Coleoptera; Curculionidae.